CUUGUACACACCGCCCGUCACACCAUGGGAGUCGGAAAUGCCCGAAGCCGGUGACCAAACCAAUAAGGAAGGAGCCGUCGAAGGCAGGUCUGAUAACUGGGGUGAAGUCGUAACAAGGUAUC
RNAcentral lists this ribosomal RNA (122 nucleotides) under uncultured bacterium. RNAcentral describes it as "partial 16S ribosomal RNA". It matches the Rfam family "Bacterial small subunit ribosomal RNA", at positions 1380 to 1500 of the family's 1533-position model. The record is from RNAcentral.